Arachis ipaensis is the source of this 673-nucleotide long non-coding RNA. RefSeq lists it as uncharacterized. NCBI's taxonomy places the organism in Eukaryota, Viridiplantae, Streptophyta, Magnoliopsida, Fabales, Fabaceae. The record is from RefSeq and is a predicted model, not a curated record.
CCGUGGAGCAUGCAAGGAAAGGGGAAAAGGUUCCAAACCCUUGGCGUUAAUUCAAAUCCACGUAACUUUUGAUUUGGAGCUCUGAUUGACGAUCCGUUUGCGGCCACGCGACCACAGCAUCGAACUCUACAAAGCCCAGUACAUUGUAAGGAUCAAAUUAACUUGGUGGACUUGCCGAGUCUUGUCCCAAUUUCCCAUUGGUAAGUUAGGUGUAUAUAUAUUGAUUGGAGCUUGAUUAGUGGACACUUGAGACUUGGUGGAGGUUGGGUGACAUUGCCUUGGUGAUUCCGGAUCUCUUAGGGCUGUGUUCGGUGCAUUAGUGGAUUGUCUCAGGUAAUACGUGAAAAUCGGUCAAGAUGCAGGUCGAGAGGCACCUCGUUAGGCGUCUGGAGCUUUUGCAGUGAAGUGGUUUCUUUUGGGGUUUCUUUUGAUCGUUUGAUAUAUGUAUAUAUAGAUUCUCCUCUGAUAUAUUUGUUUAUUUUGCUCCUCCUAGAGGAUUAUGGAGAACUAGGGUUUUAUAUAUGUAUUUUUUGAUAUCGAGUUAUGUUUAUAUGUAUGUAAAUACUCUCCGGCCAACAUUGGCUUCGCAGGCUGAGUUAGGAGCUUGUUAUCUUGUAUCCUUGACCCUCUAUUCCUACUUUUUGUUUGAUUAUACUUAUGAACUUUAGUUUUC